CUUGUCUUAAAGAUUAAGCCAUGCAAGUGUAAGUACGGCCCUUCCAUUGUGGGGGCGAGACUGCGGACGGCUCAUUAAAUCAGUUAUGAUUCCCAGGAGCCAGCGAAAUCUACUUGGAUAACUGUGGCAAUUCUAGAGCUAAUACAUGCUACUGAAGCUUCGCCGCUGCCUCCCUCGUGGAGGCGGCAGGAGCGCACUUGUUAGCCUCAAACCAAUCCGGCCGUCUCGGGUGUUCGUCCGCCUUCGGGCGUGGCGGCUCGGUGGCGCCGGUACCUUUGGUGAAUUCUGGACAACUUUGCCGAUCGCACGGCCUUCGUGCCGGCGACAUAUCUUUCAAGUGUCUGACCUAUCACACUAGAUGGUUUGCGCUCUGCGCACCAUGGUGACAACGGGUGACGGGGAAUCAGGGUUCGAUUCCGGAGAGGGAGCAUGAGAAACGGCUGCCACAUCCAAGGAAGGCAGCAGGCACGCAACUUACCCAAUGCCGAAACGGCGAGGUAGUGACGAAAAAUAACAAUACGGGACCCUCUUUACGAGUUCCCGCAAUUGAAAUGAGUACAUUCUAAAUCCUUUAACGAGGAUCAAUUGGAGGGCAAGUCUGGUGCCAGCAGCCGCGGUAAUUCCAGCUCCAAUAGCGUAUGUCAAAGUUGUUGCGGUUGAAAAGCUCGUAGUUGGAUCUCGAUGCUGGGCUGGCGGUGCGCCCGUUGUGGCGUGUCUACUGCCAGUGCCGGCGAUAAAAAGAGGCCGGCAGAUAUAUUCCCUUGGUGCUCUUGACUGAGUGGCUUGGGUGGCCGGAACGUUUACUGUGAAAAAAUUAGAGUGCUCAAGGCAGGCCUACGUGCCCGAAUACUGGUGCAUGGAAUAAUAGAGAAGGACCUCGGCGCCACGUUUGUUGGUUUACGGUGCUCGAGGUAAUGAUUAAGAGGGACUGCCGGGGGCCUACGUACUGCGGCGCGAGAGGUGAAAUUCUGUGACCGUCGCAGGACGAACGAAAGCGAAAGCAUUUGCCAAGAAUGUUUUCCUUAAUCAAGAACGAAAGU
RNAcentral lists this ribosomal RNA (1040 nucleotides) under Serripes groenlandicus. Its description in RNAcentral is "SSU rRNA". It matches the Rfam family "Eukaryotic small subunit ribosomal RNA", at positions 31 to 990 of the family's 1831-position model. The record is from RNAcentral. Lineage: Eukaryota; Metazoa; Mollusca; Bivalvia; Cardiida; Cardiidae.